RNAcentral lists this ribosomal RNA (1435 nucleotides) under uncultured bacterium. Its description in RNAcentral is "bacterial SSU rRNA". It matches the Rfam family "Bacterial small subunit ribosomal RNA". The record is from RNAcentral.
UGAGUUUGAUCAUGGCUCAGAACGUACGCUGGCGGCACGCCUAACACAUGCAAGUCGAACGAAGUAGCAAUACUUAGUGGCAGACGGGUGAGUAACAUGUAGGUAUCUGCCCUUUGGCCUGGAAUAACACGAGGAAACUUGUGCUAAUACCGGAUAAGUCUUUACGGAGAAAGCUUUAUGCACCAUUGGAUGAGCCUGCACUUGAUUAGUUUGUUGGUGGGGUAAUGGCCUACCAAGACUGUGAUCAAUAGCUGAUUUGAGAGGAUGAUCAGCCACAUUGGGACUGAGACACGGCCCAAACUCCUACGGGAGGCAGCAGUGGGGAAUCUUGCACAAUGGAGGAAACUCUGAUGCAGCGAUGCCGCGUGAGUGAAGAAGGCCUUUGGGUUGUAAAGCUCUUUCGUCGGGGAAGAAAAUGACUGUACCCGAAUAAGAAGGUCCGGCUAACUUCGUGCCAGCAGCCGCGGUAAUACGAAGGGACCUAGCGUAGUUCGGAAUUACUGGGCUUAAAGAGUUCGUAGGUGGUUGAAAAAGUUGGUGGUGAAAUCCCAGAGCUUAACUCUGGAACUGCCAUCAAAACUUUUCAGCUAGAGUAUGAUAGAGGAAAGCAGAAUUUCUAGUGUAGAGGUGAAAUUCGUAGAUAUUAGAAAGAAUACCAAUUGCGAAGGCAGCUUUCUGGAUCAUUACUGACACUGAGGAACGAAAGCAUGGGUAGCGAAGAGGAUUAGAUACCCUCGUAGUCCAUGCCGUAAACGAUGUGUGUUAGACGUUGGAAAUUUAUUUUCAGUGUCGCAGCGAAAGCGAUAAACACACCGCCUGGGGAGUACGACCGCAAGGUUAAAACUCAAAUGAAUUGACGGGGACCCGCACAAGUAGUGGAGCAUGUGGUUUAAUUCGAAGAUACGCGCAGAACCUUACCAACACUUGACAUGUUCGUCGCGACUUUAAGAGAUUAAAGUUUUCGGUUCGGCCGGACGAAACACAGGUGCUGCAUGGCUGUCGUCAGCUCGUGUCGUGAGAUGUUGGGUUAAGUCCCGCAACGAGCGCAACCCUCACUUUUAGUUGCCAUCAUUAAGUUGGGCACUCUGAAAGAACUGCCAGUGAUAAGCUGGAGGAAGGUGGGGAUGACGUCAAGUCCUCAUGGCCCUUACGUGUUGGGCUACACACGUGCUACAAUGGUAUCUACAACAGGAAGCAAAACGGCGACGUUAAGCAAAUCCUUAAAAGAUACCUCAGUUCGGAUUGCACUCUGCAACUCGAGUGCAUGAAGCUGGAAUUACUAGUAAUCGUGGAUCAGCGUGCCACGGUGAAUGCGUUCCCGGGUCUUGUACACACCGCCCGUCACACCAUGGGAGUUGGUUCUACCUUAAGGCAAGGUUUCAAACCCUUGACCACGGUAUAGUCAGCGACUGGGGUGAAGUCGUAACAAGGUAGC